RNAcentral lists this long non-coding RNA (223 nucleotides) under Apteryx owenii (little spotted kiwi). RNAcentral describes it as "lncRNA (ENSAOWG00000013824.1)". The record is from RNAcentral. Lineage: Eukaryota; Metazoa; Chordata; Aves; Apterygiformes; Apterygidae.
AAGAGUUUUUCUAAGCAAUGUCACAUUAUUAAUUUCCAUCUUUAUCCAGGUAGGGAACAGACUCUCCAGAUCUGCUCUUUCUGAACAAAGUGAGUUCCUGGCAUUUUUGAAGUCUCAUGAAUGGGUCAAGGUCAGCUGUGGAGGAUCCUUCAGCGUUCCAUACAUGGUAAUGGGAAUAUCCACAUUGCUCUACAGUUCGCUGCCAUGAUUUAAAUUCGAUCUA